This is a long non-coding RNA of Jaculus jaculus (lesser Egyptian jerboa), 286 nucleotides long. RefSeq lists it as uncharacterized. The transcript is spliced from 2 exons. NCBI's taxonomy places the organism in Eukaryota, Metazoa, Chordata, Mammalia, Rodentia, Dipodidae. The record is from RefSeq and is a predicted model, not a curated record.
CAGACUGAGUACCUCCUCUUUUAUUAACUUUGAGGGCAGAGCAGAUUCUUUACCAAUCUGCCUUGUGCUCCAAGGGGGAGGGGUACCAGUAGGCUGUUUGCGCACCAGCUAUCGGACGUUCCUAACGGACGCUCCGGAUAGAACAGAUCGUGGCUUCAAGCAAGUACCAUGCUACAAGGAAACUGGAAUACACUGCGGAAGACUGGCAGGUGGAGGAAGACAGGUGGAGAGAGAAAGUUUAAUUUUUUUCAGCAUUUUUGCCAGUAAAUAAAAGAUCUACAAGUGA